This 426-nucleotide ribosomal RNA is filed under the name Clostridium perfringens. Its description in RNAcentral is "bacterial SSU rRNA". The record is from RNAcentral. Lineage: Bacteria; Bacillati; Bacillota; Clostridia; Eubacteriales; Clostridiaceae.
GGUAAUACGUAGGUGGCGAGCGUUCUCCGGGUUUACUGGGCGUAGAGGGAGCGUAGGCGGAUGAUUAAGUGGGGAUGUGAAAUACCCGGGCUCAACUUGGGAGCAGCAUUCCAAACUGGUUAUCUAGAGUGCAGGAGAGGAGAGUGGAAUUCCUAGUGUAGCGGUGAAAUGCGUAGAGAUUAGGAAGAACACCAGUGGCGAAGGCGACUCUCUGGACUGUAACUGACGCUGAGGCUCGAAAGCGUGGGGAGCAAACAGGAUUAGAUACCCUGGUGUCCCACGCCGUAAACGAUGAAUACUAGGUGUGGGGGUUUCAACACCUCCGUGCCGCCGCUAACGCAUUAAGUAUUCCGCCUGGGGAGUACGGUCGCAAGAUUAAAACUCAAGGAAUUGASGGAUUGGGAGGACAUGAGGGAAAAAAAGGUA